UGAGGAAUAUUGGUCAAUGGGCGAGAGCCUGAACCAGCCAAGUAGCGUGCAGGAUGACGGCCCUAUGGGUUGUAAACUGCUUUUAUGUGGGGAUAAAGUGCGUGACGUGUCAUGUAUUGCAGGUACCACAUGAAUAAGGACCGGCUAAUUCCGUGCCAGCAGCCGCGGUAAUACGGAAGGUCCGGGCGUUAUCCGGAUUUAUUGGGUUUAAAGGGAGCGUAGGCUGUCUAUUAAGCGUGUUGUGAAAUUUACCGGCUCAACCGGUGGCUUGCAGCGCGAACUGGUCGACUUGAGUAUGCAGGAAGUAGGCGGAAUUCAUGGUGUAGCGGUGAAAUGCUUAGAUAUCAUGACGAACUCCGAUUGCGCAGGCAGCUUACUGUAGCAUAACUGACGCUGAUGCUCGAAAGUGCGGGUAUCAAACAGG
RNAcentral lists this ribosomal RNA (424 nucleotides) under Fusobacteriota bacterium. RNAcentral's name for it is "Fusobacteria bacterium partial 16S ribosomal RNA". It matches the Rfam family "Bacterial small subunit ribosomal RNA", at positions 355 to 776 of the family's 1533-position model. Lineage: Bacteria; Fusobacteriati; Fusobacteriota. The record is from RNAcentral.